Molecule: ribosomal RNA, 200 nt
Filed under: uncultured bacterium
Lineage: Bacteria
Description: partial 16S ribosomal RNA
Rfam family: Bacterial small subunit ribosomal RNA
Source: RNAcentral
GACGAACGCUGGCGGCGUGCUUAACACAUGCAAGUCGAACGAUGAAGGAGGAGCUUGCUUCUCCGGAUUAGUGGCGAACGGGUGAGUAAUACGUGAGCAAUGUGCCCUUGGCUCUGGGAUAAGCGCUGGAAACGGCGUCUAAUACCGGAUACGACCUUCGGAGGCGAUCUCCUGACGGUGGAAAGGAACUUCGGUCAAGG